ACACAUAUUGAACAUCUACAGGUAUCCUGGCAGAGUGCUUUACGAAUGCCAUUUUAUUUAAGCCUUAUGAGACUGGCAAUAUUGUCACCACUUUGCAGGUGAAGAAACAGACUCAAAAAGGUUAAAUAACUUUUCCAUGGUUAUACUCCAUUAAAAGAUAGUUUCAGGUCUUUCAUCACAAAAUGUCUUUCAAUGUCCUGGAACCAUAAGUCCUAUCACCUAGGAUAUGCCAAUAGCACUUUCUACCUAAAAGUCAGUCACUAACAGCAACUCCAAGGCACGAUUUGUAGAAAACUACCUUAUCUAUUUUCCAUGAGGAAACCUCAAAGACCAGGAUAUAAACCUUGUAUAUAGUGUAGUACCCAAAAAAAUAAGAAGAAAAGAAAGCUCACAAUAAAUAAGAAAACCAGGAUUAUAAUUCUGAUGCUGCAACUAAUUAGGCCUAGGAGCUUGGCAUGCCUCUUAGUGCCUAUGAGUCAAGUUUCCUGAUCUGCAAACUGGGUGUUAUUUAUUUAUUUUUUUUUGAGGAAGGUUAGCCCUGAGCUAACAUCUGCCGCCAAUCCUCCUCUUCUCACUGAGGAAGACUGACCCUGAGCUAACAUCCAUGCCCAUCUUCCUCUACUUUAUAUGUGGGACGCCAACCACAGCAUGACGUACCAAGCAGUGCCAUGUCUGCACCCAGGAUCCGAACCGGCGAAUCCCAGGCCGUCAAAGCGGAACGUGCGCACUUAACUGCUGCGCCACCGGCCGGCCCAGGGUGUUAGAAUUUAAGUCUAGCUCAUGUACGCGUGAAAGUGCUUUGAAAAGAGAAACGAUAUACACAUAAAAGAAAUUAUUAAGUUUCUUUAUUGUAAACGUAUUUGCCAAAAGCAAAAUGCCCUAGUGAAUGAUGGGUUCAGUUUCUGAGGUUUGGAAUAUUCAAACACACACAACUAUUGGAGUGAUAAAUAAUUGGAGACUUCUCUCCGUUGGUUAAACAGAGUACUUUUGCCCUUCCGUCUUUUUCAUCCUUGAACUUUAAAGACUAUCCAGAGGGGAUAAGGAGAUGUUUACGCUACUGCCAAGUGAGAUAAACUAUGGGCGUUUCUUCUUUUUAGGCACUAAAAAAAGAACAAUUAUUUCUAGAAACUAAAAAAAAGACAGAGAGAAGGAAAGGAAGGAAGAAUGGACGGCAGGACACCAGCACAGCAUGGCUUGAUGAGGGGUGUGUAGGCCUGCCCCCGGGGAUCCAAACCUGGUAACACCAGGCCGCAGCAGAGAGUACAAACUUAACUGCCACGCGUCACCGGGUCAGCCCCAAUAGGAAAGUAUUUUGAUCUGCGAUUUGUCUUGCUAAAUCUUUGAAACUUCGUAAAUUUAGGGUCAAAGGCAAAAGGUAGAAGUUUUAAAAUAAUAACUCAUUAAUCUGUAAGCGCCGUAGCGUUUGGGAAUACUUCUUUUAUAUUUUUAUCUAAAGGUACUCAUUCAGUGUUUAUUAUGUGCCACGAACUGGUUUUAACUGAUUUGCAUCUAUUCUUUCACUUAAUUCUCACAGACUCUAAAGUAAAGCGUCUCUAUUCCCAUUUUAGAGGUGAGAAAACUAAGGUUCAAUCUCUUAAGCACUGCACAGCCUCCUUGGACCCUGAUGUGUAGUGGAUACUCUGCUUGAUAGUUGAGUGAAUAAAUUGCCCUGUUACACGUGCAGGGUAUUUUCAGUUUACACAUCCUUUUCACCUACUACAUCUUGUUUUAUCCUCUUUUCAGGCAAUGGAAUCAUUAUUUUCUUCUUCUGUUCCAAAUUAGGAGGGACCUUGUUGCCCUUAGGUACAACUAAGUGCCUUAAAUAUUGAUGGUUUUGAACAGAGGAAGAAGGGCUUUCCAGUUCAGCCGUUCUGAUUGGUAAAGCCUUCCAAAGCGGGGAGGGAGAGACUGGCAGGAGCGUGCCCAAUUCUAAAUAGCCCAAACCUGCAGCUUACUCUGCUCUAUUUCUUGCGAAGAGUGGAAAGCCAAAUGACAAGACAAAAGAUGAAAGUCAGUUUUGAUGUCAAAGUCUGCUUCAGUGUCCUUUGUAAUCUUGUCAUAGAUCAUUUAUAUUAACCUAAUAUAAUUACUUUAAUAGUGAUGUGUAUUAUAAAUAGACUAAUCGUCCUGAACGCAAACUGUAGAAAUUAAACAAAUUAAGUGUUUAGCUCACAGUGUGUUUUUUCCCCCUUCUCUUCUCCUUCCUUCUUCUCCGUCUCCUUCUGUGUCUCUUCCUGAACACAGGCAGCCGGAGAUUCAGGCCCCCAGAUUUCUCUCUGCAGAGUGUACUUUACCUUUUGGAUGGGACUUUAAAGACUUUAAACAGCUUGAGACUUAUAGUUUGCCACAGGAGCAUGUAGCAAAUUCCUGUUUCUACUUUUUGAACCAGGAGCUGGAGUCUAAGAGCCCCGCGCAGGAAGUCGCAGGUGGUGGGAAAGGGGAAACAAGGUCAUUUUCAACCAUGUACAUUGAGGUUGUACCUUUAAAGUCAAUUCUAAAUUUAAUUGAAAGCCGAGGGCAGAGAAGCCAAGAUCGGAGCAAUGUGGUGAUUUAUUCUGAAGCCUGUAAGAAGUCAUGCGGCUGAAUGUGGGAUGAGCUGGGGCUUUAAUAAAAAUGGCACUGGGGAAGCCAGCGGGAAGAGGCACAAGAAUGGAACUGGGUUAGAUGAAGGGUCUUGAGGCCUGAAAGGGAGCGGGGGUCUGAGGGAGCAGUGUUUGCCCAAACUCUGCUGUUUUUACCAUGGUGGAUGCACAUAAGUAAUCCGCAUCAAAAGGAAAAACCAGGAUCAGACGGAAGCCACGAAGACUCUUUAGACAGUGAAUUUUGCAUGAAAUCAUUAAGGUGUCCAAAUUGCAGAAAGGCUAUGGAAUGAAUGGCAAUGAGAACUCAUCUAAUAUUAUUUCUAGCUGAAAUUUAGCUGAAGAAAAAUGACAUGUUCCUUUAUUAAAACACUACAGGACUUGACAGCAAAGCUCCCACACAUUUCUAUGGGUGUUAUUGUCAACUAAAUUAUAUUGGACCAUUGCUACAGAAAAUCCAUAACGUGUUCUCAGAAUCAAAUCUUCUCUGUUGACAAAUGGUUUAGGAACAAUUUUUCCAAGCUAAAAAAAAAAAGAGAAAGAAAGAAAGAAAUAGAAAGCUUGUUAGCAGAUGUUAUACUAGAAAGAGAACUGGGCUGGAAAUUGUACGUCCUGGGUUCUAGGCUCUCUGACCUGGGGGAGGAGCUGGCUGUCCCUCCAGUGGUGGGGACCACAUGAUCUGUCCUCCUGAUGCUGAUUUUUAUAGGUUCUCUUCUUUAGAUCAACUUCACAUCAUAUUCGGCAUCUCUGUUAUUCUUAUUAAUUUUAAUAUUAUUACAAACAUUACAUGUUCAUUGCAGAAAACUCAGACAAUGCAAAAAAGGAUCAAGAUGAAAAUAAACAUUACUUGUAAUCUCACCAUCCAGAGAUAACCACUGUUGACAUUUUGCUCAAUAUCACUCUGAUUAAGAUAACAUUCAAAGGGCCAGGAAGGUUUUACCUCAGAGAACCAGGCACCAGUUGAAGAAUAAUUGCCACAUUCAGAAGGUCGAGGUGGUAGUGGUGACUCUUUCAAAAAUCUUUGAGUAAGUCUUUCCCUCGUUUCUCUCUCUUCUUUCUAGUUGCCUGGUUCGUGGUAUCAAGAUCUGUGCCGUCCAGAGGAAACGACACGUGAGCCUCCAUCCGGAUUCUGUGACUCACGUGCUUGUGACCACCAACUUCUGGUCACCCACCAAGUUUCAAAUAAUUUCCUAGAGCAGUUUAAAUAUUUAUUUGUGUGUGUGUCUGUGCUUUUUUGUAAUAUUUGGAUAAGGAAUAAUAGCAAUAAUGGAAACCUAAAAAUAAUUGAUGUGAUGGGGUACUGGACUGAUGAACAGACUUGUCUCUAAUUUCCUUUAUUCUUGUUACGAUAAUUGUGCAACAAAUGAAAAUAGUAAGGAAAACAGGUGACAGUGGAGAGUGGUGAAUGAGGAGGAAGGAGAGGGCAUGAGCCCGUUUUAGGAACAAGCAGUUCUCUAUAUGGCGGGCUCUCAGCUGUCCAGGUUCAAAAAACUCACAAUAAAAUGCUUUUGCAUUCAAGUUUACUAGAUUUGGAAGUAAAAGCCCUGUUCCAACCCCACUGCUUCCUGCUUCUUAGUUUCCCUGAGCUUCCAUCUCCUCCUCCACGAAUGGGGUCAUAACCUGCUCUUACCUAAUUUAUUUUGCAAAGAUGGAAAAGGAAAGUUCAAAUGAGGUAAUUAUGUGAAGAAAAAUGUUAUUUUAGGAUCCCGAGACUUUGUGUUUUUCAAUUAAUUAUAUUUGACGAUUGGAAUUACUUGGACUAGACAUAGAAUUUCCCAGUUGCUAGGGGGAGCUUGAUGUCAUGAUGAUGUUGGUCUGUUACAGCUGAUGGUGGUUAAUUUCUCUCUUUCAGGGAGUCAGCAAAGCCAUGGAAAUUUAGGCAUGGAUUUUGGAGUCAGAUAUGAUGUGUGUUUGGGAGGCCUCGGACCAUUAACUCAGGCUCCCUGAGCCUGUUUCCUGUUCUGUAAAACGGGGAUAGUAAAGCCUACCUUGCAGGGCUGCUAAAAAAUUGGGAAUAAUGUGUGUAAAGCACCAGACAUUGAGUUGGCCACGCAGUGAGCCCCGAAUCUACGGUGGCUGUUAUUGUUAUAAGAGCAUCAAUUUUUAAAUAUUCUCCCUCGUCUCCCCGCUCCCACAGUUCAUUCAUAAAAGCACAGGCUCCUGAUCCACUGUUCUUCCAGUCCUUGGGAGAAUUUUCUAACUCAGUACACUAGGAGCAAGGCCAAUAUCUUAGAUGAUUCUGUUCUAGAAAGGUGCUUAAACACAGUCAAGAUAUAGCGUAGUUUUACCAAGAAAGCGGGACUUUGCUAUAAACUAUCACCCUGGAGACAAGACUGAAAAAAAACAAAUCAAGGCCACGUGCCUACCCACAGCAGGAGAAAUAUACAAAGUCAAGAUUUCUGUCAGCAUAUUAUGCUUCUGGUUGUUUACAUAAAAACAUGUCUUGGACAGUAAUUAUGCAUUUUUCAGAACUGGGCCAGCUCUGGGAAUGCAAAGCUGAGAGGCAGCAGUCACUGCGGUUACUUUCAGUUUCAACUGUCAGGUUGGGAGUCAGAGGGGCAUGGGUUUGAACGCUAGUUUAGCACCAUAAGUGACCACUGGUCCACUGCUUACUAGCUAAGUGACGUGGUGCAAGCUGAUCAGUCUCUCAGAAAAUCAGUUUUUACAUUGGGAGUUGGAUAAAAACCAAGUGUCUGCUGCAGAGACAAAAGAAUGAAUUUGGAAAAUGAAUUAAAGGGCCUGGGUCUGGCACAUGAUAGGUGUAGGUGUUUAGAAGAUGGUAAUAGUGGUUGCUAUUAGCAGCGAUGAGAUGAAGUCUUCAUCUUGGAGGAAUGCUCGGCAUAGCAGCAGAAAAAAUGUACGCGAAUAAAGUCCUGAAUAAAUUCAAAGUAUGUGUUCACAGUGCUUCAGUAUUAUGAAAGCAGAAAGGGUGAAGCCCAUGUGACGAGGAAAGAUCGAAGGGGGCUUCAAAGAGAAACAUUUGAGCCUCACCUUGAAAGAUGGGUAGAAAUUCUCCAAGAGGAAAGGGAGAGAAGAAGCACAAGGUGGCACAAGGGUACAGAGGAUGAGGCUUGGGCAGGGAUGUUGUCCUGUGUCUUGAGUUAGCAGUGUCACAUGGUUAAGAAUGGUGGGAGAUGAGGUGGAAAGCCAGUGCUGCUCCAGGCUGGAAAUGGCUUUGUACACCCAAAUGCCACUGACCUUGGUUUCUUGAGCAAGAGACAGCCAAUGAAGUUGUGCUGGGCGUCCUCCAUUUGCUCCUCCAGUCAGCCUUCACUUACCUCCAUUUGCUCCUGAACUAGGGGGCUGAGCUGUUGCGGACCACAUCAACGAGCUCCCUCCCGCUCAGGCUUCCAGUAGGUUUUGGCCAACGGAACACAGGGAAGAAAUCAAAAGGAAGACUGAGACUGGGGUAUAUAUUCUUUUGACAAAAGAUCACAGCAUCCAUCAGGCCGCCUUCCCACACAGCUCUCUCUUCCUGGGAUCCAUGAGCCUCUCUCCCAAGGUCUCCCACAGAGAGGUGGUGAAUGCACCUCACCGGUACUGGUACCAAGUAUGGAACCAUCAUAAGAGAUGGUUUACAAAUAGUCCUUUUAUUACCUCUUCUUAAAUUACCCAAUUUGAAGUACCAAACGUUUCCUGCCAGGCCCCUGACUGAUAUAUAACUUAAAUAGGGAAUAAAGUCAAUGUGUUUCUGGGGGAGGGCUAGGGCAGAGAGACCAUGGCACUAACACCAGAAGACAUGAAGUCACAGGCCAUACAAUUUAUGUAAAGAACAAUGGUUUGUCUGUUCCUUUGUGGCUGCUAGUCUGGAACCACAUGGAGACAUGGCGUGGCUUCUUGGAGAGUGUCCUCAGCCUGGUCUCUAAGUGAGCCACUCAUGACGAGAUUGAAGGGUGACCCUGUGAAAUGCUGUUACCCAUCUCCAUGAGUGGACUGACUUCAAGAGGAAGGCCUUGAAAUAAGCCGUCUCAUGUCAAAUUGUUCUUCUUAUUAGGAUAGCUACAGAAGAUGGACAAAAGGUGGAAGUGUUGUGAGUGACUGAUGCGGCCAACUUAAGAAGAAAAGUCCCCUUUUCUAGGCCUGUUUUUCCUUUGCAAGGAACCAACAGAGUUUCUCUUCUCCACCUCGGCCCUUCAUCUUACCCCAGGAAGGUAGGAACCGGCUACUCCCUCUCUUCCCACUGCUGUCCAUCCUGUGCUCUGGGAAGCACAGUUACUUUUUAUGGCUCUCCCCAGGGAGUUUGAAUUUUGAGCCUCAGCUUUAAUUAUGUAAUGAAAACAUAUGUUUCCUAUUGCAAGAAUUUUAGACAGCAGUGAGGAGGAGGGAGAGAUGGGGUGAGGCUGUGAGGGGAGAGAGGACUAAGUGACUUCCACUGAGCAGUAAUUACAGCGGAGAGUAGAAGACCAUUCGCAGACCUGCGAGGCCGAGCUGGAAGCAUUUCAUUCAAUAAUCAUUUAGCAUUGAGAGCUGUGUAUGCAGGGCACUGCCGAGCUUUGGGGAAAUACAAAGUGGAGUGGAGGGGGGAUAGUGUGAGAAGAGGGAUGAGACCUGUACACACAUGUGUGAGUAGGUGAAGGAACUAGGAUGCGGGUUUAGAAGACGAGAUGAGAUCAGGUUGCAGGAACUUGAUUAUAGAGACAGUAUUUGAAUCAGGUCUUGAAAGACGGGUAGACAUGGAAGUAGCAGGGGUUUUCUGGGCAGCCUUCCCCAUCCUUGCCACUUCCCUUGCCCUGCUCCCCCAAAGCAAUGAACCUGCUUCAUUGUGUUUAGAGAACAAGUUCAAAUAUUUGAUGAGUAAGUAUUACAUAGAUAAAAUUUAACCAGGAUAUGCUUCAGGGUGGUCUAUGACAAAUCAUAUUUUGCGUAGGCUUCUUCGCCUCAACCACACCAGCGGUAAAUAAAUAUUUGCUUCUAAUUACAGAAUUAAUACACAAAUAGUUUUUGAUCAUAAAAAGAUUCAAGCAUUAUAGGCAUAACAGAAGUUCUCUUUGAAAUCACCACCCCCAAACCCAUAUUUACUUCUAGAAGUAUAUUGUUCUGUGUGUGGGUCUGUGGUUACGUAAUGGUAUCGUACUGUGUGUUCGUGCUACAGUCUGCAUUUAUUACUCAAUAUAUCUUGGAGCUCAUUCUAAGUGGCUUCACAGAGAUCUACCCUCAUUCUUUGUAAUCCUACCUACAUUUGUUUGUUUCUCGGGAUAGUUUUGGAAACACUUUCCAUAACUCUUUUGGAAACUUUCCUUACAAUAAGAAUCACCCAGAAACAUUCAGAGCCCUCCCCAAGACUGGUUUUCCAUAGGAUUGGGAAGAAGGUUGGAGAAAUUAUUUGCAGCCAACAUCCCAGCAACCUGGAGCCCCUGAAAUGGUCGUGACUGCCCCAACGAUCAAAACUUCUGUGGACAGCUGUGAAAGCAAAAGAGAAGACUGACCUGAGAAGGACAUUUUGUCCCCUGACUGUUGGUACAGAAUACCUGAGGCAGGAUGUGUGUGUCCAGAGGACACAGCCUGCCAUGUCUGAGGCUAUCCUUCUGCCUAGCAGCCCGGGUUGUGGGGUAAGAGCUGAGGCUGGAUUGGAGAAAUUAGAAUACACUAUAUCUUUUUUCCUUUUGACAGUGCAACCUCUUCCUAGGGAAGGCUCAAAAACCUUGGAUAUCAUAUCAUUCCACAAAAGGAAAGUUUGCUGAGUUUGUUUUUAAUAUAUCAGAAACAUAUGUAUUAAAUUCCGUUAAAAUGCAGAGAACUUUUUAGUAUCAUAGAACUUAGUAAAUAUUUUCCACUUUAAAGUUGUGUCCUUUGACAAGUCAGAGAACACGUCUUUGGUUUCUGUCCCGUAUAUGAGAUAAAUACCACAAAUGUGUUUUGGAAAAGAAAGCAAAUUUAAAAAAGGAAAUAAAGCAAGCCAAAGACCCAUCACAAUUACUACAACAGAAUGAAGAACAAUUGGGUGUAGCAAGAAGGAACUCUUCCUUAGAUCCUAGUAGAUGUGCCGUGGGUAUGGUAAAAGCAUAACGAAACUAGCAAUUUCCACUGGACACUGUGGAGGGGAUGGGGAGAGAAACGGAGAGGGAGGAUGGUGCCUGCUGACUGGAAAGGCCUUACUCCUGCCCUUGGGUUAAGGCUUCCUGGGAGGCCUUCACAUACCACCAAGGAGUUCCAUCCAGGGAUUAUCCAGUUUCCCAUGAUGAUGUUUAAUUUGGGGGUUUUCUCAAUUUUUGAGCCUGAGUCUCUGUUUAUGACUGAGUUCGUGCCAAAUUGUGUUACUUUCCCUGUACCUGGCUAACAGGAGAAGAUCGUUAGUAGACCUGACACAUAAGAGACACGCUGGUAGCAUGCAAAGGCCGAGGAGUUGCACAGGCAGCUGUGGAAGGAGGAUUCACAGAGAAGCAGUAAGAAAUUGGGUCAUCAACCAGCACUCAGUGGCUUGGGCAUGGGGACCCACGAGAACCUGCUGUAGCCUAUGCUCUUGAAGAGCUGAGAUUCAGUUUCAGCAAAACGUCACCAGCUGUCACAUUACGUUAGUGUUCAUUUGAAUUGCACUGGUUUUGUGAUUUCGUUUUCAUUUAAAGUUAUUCUUACUUUAUUGUUGCCUAAGUUGUAUGUAUAUAAGGAGCUAAUAUAUAAAAAUCAUAUUAUAGUAUUUAAACGACAUAAUAAAAAUAGUCUAAGUCAACACUGGA
Long non-coding RNA from Equus caballus (horse), 9253 nucleotides. NCBI's taxonomy places the organism in Eukaryota, Metazoa, Chordata, Mammalia, Perissodactyla, Equidae. The record is from Ensembl.